Sapajus apella (tufted capuchin) is the source of this 497-nucleotide long non-coding RNA. RefSeq lists it as uncharacterized. The record is from RefSeq and is a predicted model, not a curated record. The transcript has 2 exons. Lineage: Eukaryota; Metazoa; Chordata; Mammalia; Primates; Cebidae.
GAAUUAAAAGUGAGUAAGUAUCGAGCUUAAACGCUUUCUUAAUUGAUGGCUGCUUUUAGGCCAACUAUGGUAGUGAAAUAUUUUACUCUCUAUAUUAAGGUUAUUUCCUAGGGUCUAAAGAGCUGUCCCUCUUUAGACUAACAAUUCAAUUUAUGGGGGUAUUAAAUGAUUCUGUAGGUAAAUUUAAGAUUGAACUAAGAUUCUGCCUUGGACAACCAGCUAUCACCAGGCUUGGCAGGUUUGUCGCCACUACCCACAGAUCUUCCCACUAUUUUGCCACAUAAACGGGGUGCACUCUUUUAGCUAUCCUUGGGUAGCUCGUUUGGUUUUGGGGGGUGUUGUUGAAGUUCUCUAUAUAAAGUUGUUUCUAGUUAAUUCAUUAUGCAGAAGGUUAGAAGGGUUUAUCUUUGCUUUUUUAUGCUUAUUAGGUUUUUGUCUUUCCCUUACGGUACUAUAUCUGUUGCACCUAGUAUAUAAUUUCUAUCGCCUAUACUUUU